RNAcentral lists this long non-coding RNA (253 nucleotides) under Mytilus galloprovincialis (Mediterranean mussel). Lineage: Eukaryota; Metazoa; Mollusca; Bivalvia; Mytilida; Mytilidae. The record is from RNAcentral.
AGGCUUGGUUUUCCAUAGCUGAUGUUUAAGGAGGUCAUUCUGAUCUCGCUAGCUCUAUAAAGUCCUUUGUUGUCUAAUUUUUGUUCACAAAACGACCUAUACUGGAAUAGUGAUGACCAACAAUACGUGCAAUUGUCACAGCGACAUACCUGCUUCGCUCAUGCUGAUUAUCUGCCAUCUUGCUGCAAUUUAGAGUCGUUGAGGACCUAUAUCAUGGUGUCGAUCCCAUAACUUUACAAACUUGGUUAUUUUA